GCAGCCUGAUGCAGCAACGCCGCGUGAGGGACGACGGCCUUCGGGUUGUAAACCUCUUUUAGUAGGGAAGAAGCGAAAGUGACGGUACCUGCAGAAAAAGCACCGGCUAACUACGUGCCAGCAGCCGCGGUAAUACGUAGGGUGCAAGCGUUGUCCGGAAUUAUUGGGCGUAAAGAGCUCGUAGGCGGUUUGUCACGUCUGCUGUGAAAACUGGAGGCUCAACCUCCAGCUUGCAGUGGGUACGGGCAGACUAGAGUGCGGUAGGGGAGAUUGGAAUUCCUGGUGUAGCGGUGGAAUGCGCAGAUAUCAGGAGGAACACCGAUGGCGAAGGCAGAUCUCUGGGCCGUAACUGACGCUGAGGAGCGAAAGCGUGGGGAGCGAACAGGAUUAGAUACCCUGGUAGUCCACGCCGUAAACGUUGGGAACUAGAUGUGGGGUCCAUUCCACGGAUUCCGUGUCGCAGCUAACGCAUUAAGUUCCCCGCCUGGGGAGUACGGCCGCAAGGCUAAAACUCAAAGGAAUUGACGGGGGCCCGCACAAGCGGCGGAGCAUGCGGAUUAAUUCGAUGCAACGCGAAGAACCUUACCAAGGCUUGACAUAUACCUGUAAAGGCUAGAAAUAGUCUCCCCGCAAGGC
Molecule: ribosomal RNA, 636 nt
Filed under: Microbacteriaceae bacterium Ri1Ps_4655
Lineage: Bacteria; Bacillati; Actinomycetota; Actinomycetes; Micrococcales; Microbacteriaceae
Description: bacterial SSU rRNA
Rfam family: Bacterial small subunit ribosomal RNA
Source: RNAcentral